UUAGAAAGGGGUCAAGCCACACGUAGUUCAUAUUAGAAUAAGUGAGCUAGGCCGUCAUUGGAGGUAGGUCGGCAGGUAGUUGACGAGCCGGCAGAUGUGCGACAAGCUGGAUGAACCGUGGUAGAGAGACGAGUUGGAUAAACCGAGUUGUUUGCUGAAGGUCUAGACGAGCUGGACGACGAGAUAGGUGGACUAUGCAGUCAAUGGACGAACUGCCGCUAGGCGAGGAGGUAGAUGAGUUUUGUUUUCGAGGGAUGAGCUGAUAGCUAGACGAGGAGUUGGACGAGCUGUAUAGAUGACAGCUAGACGAGGAGAUGGUCGUUGAGUGGAGCAUGAAGACGAGCUGAGAAGCUUGAAGACGAGUUGAGGAGCUUGAAGACGAGCUU
RNAcentral lists this small RNA (386 nucleotides) under Arabidopsis thaliana (thale cress). Its description in RNAcentral is "ATSL133130". The record is from RNAcentral. Lineage: Eukaryota; Viridiplantae; Streptophyta; Magnoliopsida; Brassicales; Brassicaceae.